AGUGAACGCUGGCGGUAGGCCUAACACAUGCAAGUCGAACGGCAGCACAGUAAUAGCUUGCUCUUACGGGUGGCGAGUGGCGGAUGGGUGAGGAAUACAUCGGAAUCUACUUUUUCGUGGGGGAUAACGCAGGGAAACUUACGCCAAUACCGCAUACGACCUACGGGUGAAAGCAGGGGACCUUCGGACCUUGCGCGAUCGAAUGAGCCGAUGUCGGAUUAGCUAGUUGGCGGGGUAAAGGCCCACCAAGGCGACGAUCCGUAGCUGGUCUGAGAGGAUGAUCAGCCACACUGGAACUGAGACACGGUCCAGACUCCUACGGGAGGCAGCAGUGGGGAAUAUUGGACAAUGGGCGCAAGCCUGAUCCAGCCAUACCGCGUGGGUGAAGAAGGCCUUCGGGUUGUAAAGCCCUUUUGUUGGGAAAGAAAAGCAGCAGGUUAAUACCCCGCUGUUCUGACGGUACCCAAAGAAUAAGCACCGGCUAACUUCGUG
Molecule: ribosomal RNA, 492 nt
Filed under: uncultured bacterium
Lineage: Bacteria
Description: partial 16S ribosomal RNA
Rfam family: Bacterial small subunit ribosomal RNA
Source: RNAcentral